GACGAACGCUGGCGGCGUGCUUAACACAUGCAAGUCGAACGGUAAGGCCCUUCGGGGUACACGAGUGGCGAACGGGUGAGUAACACGUGGGUGAUCUGCCCUGCACUUCGGGAUAAGCCUGGGAAACUGGGUCUAAUACCGGAUAGGACUCCGGACUGCAUGGUCUGGGGUGGAAAGCUUUUGCGGUGUGGGAUGGGCCCGCGGCCUAUCAGCUUGUUGGGGGGGUGAUGGCGUACCAAGGCGACGACGGGUAGCCGGCCUGGGAGGGUGACCGGCCACACGGGGACUGAGAGACGUCCCAGACUCCUACGGGAGGCAGCAGUGGGGAAUAUUGCACAAUGGGCGCAAGCCUGAUGCAGCGACGCCGCGUGAGGGAUGACGGCCUUCGGGUUGUAAACCUCUUUCAGCACAGACGAAGCGCAAGUGACGGUAUGUGCAGAAGAAGGACCGGCCAACUACGUGCCAGCCGCCGCGGUAA
This 478-nucleotide ribosomal RNA is filed under the name uncultured bacterium. RNAcentral describes it as "partial 16S ribosomal RNA". It matches the Rfam family "Bacterial small subunit ribosomal RNA", at positions 28 to 523 of the family's 1533-position model. The record is from RNAcentral.